This 761-nucleotide ribosomal RNA is filed under the name uncultured bacterium. RNAcentral's name for it is "bacterial SSU rRNA". It matches the Rfam family "Bacterial small subunit ribosomal RNA", at positions 626 to 1388 of the family's 1533-position model. The record is from RNAcentral.
UUCAAAACUGGCGAACUAGAGUAUGGUAGAGGUGAGUGGAAUUUCCUGUGUAGCGGUGAAAUGCGUAGAGAUGGGAAGGAACAUCAGUGGCGAAGGCGACUCACUGGACCAAUACUGACACUGAGGUACGAAAGCGUGGGUAGCAAACAGGAUUAGAUACCCUGGUAGUCCACGCCGUAAACGAUGUCUACUAGCCGUUGGGGUCCUUGAGACUUUAGUGGCGCAGCUAACGCACUAAGUAGACCGCCUGGGGAGUACGGUCGCAAGAUUAAAACUCAAAUGAAUUGACGGGGGCCCGCACAGGCGGUGGAGCAUGUGGUUUAAUUCGAAGCAACGCGAAGAACCUUACCUACUCUUGACAUCCAGAGAAUUUAGCAGAGAUGCUUUAGUGCCUUCGGGAACUCUGAGACAGGUGCUGCAUGGCUGUCGUCAGCUCGUGUUGUGAAAUGUUGGGUUAAGUCCCGUAACGAGCGCAACCCUUGUCCUUAGUUACUAACAUUAAGUUGAGAACUCUAAGGAGACUGCCGGUGACAAACCGGAGGAAGGCGGGGACGACGUCAAGUCAUCAUGGCCCUUACGAGUAGGGCUACACACGUGCUACAAUGGCCAGUACAAAGGGUUGCCAAGCCGCGAGGUGGAGCUAAUCCCAGAAAGCUGGUCGUAGUCCGGAUCGGAGUCUGCAACUCGACUCCGUGAAGUCGGAAUCGCUAGUAAUCGUGAAUCAGAAUGUCACGGUGAAUACGUUCCCGGGCCUUGUACAC